AACGAACGCUGGCGGCAUGCCUAACACAUGCAAGUCGAACGAGACCUUCGGGUCUAGUGGCGCACGGGUGCGUAACGCGUGGGAACCUGCCCUUAGGUUCGGAAUAACUCCCCGAAAGGGGUGCUAAUACCGGUUAAUGUCUUCGGACCAAAGAUUUAUCGCCUUUGGAUGGGCCCGCGUUCGAUUAGCUAGUUGGUAGGGUAAAAGCCUACCAAGGCGACGAUCCAUAGCUGGUCUGAGAGGAUGAUCAGCCACGCUGGGACUGAGACACGGCCCAGACUCCUACGGGAGGCAGCAGUGGGGAAUAUUGGACAAUGGGCGAAAGCCUGAUCCAGCAAUGCCGCGUGAGUGAUGAAGGCCUUAGGGUUGUAAAGCUCUUUUACCCGGGAUGAUAAUGACAGUACCGGGAGAAUAAGCUCCGGCUAACUCCGUG
Molecule: ribosomal RNA, 433 nt
Filed under: uncultured bacterium
Lineage: Bacteria
Description: partial 16S ribosomal RNA
Rfam family: Bacterial small subunit ribosomal RNA
Source: RNAcentral